AUGGGGAAGCACGGCGGUGUCCAUGCGUGUGACACGACACGAUGCAUGUCACGGUCCCCGGCCGGCGCGCGCGUUCGCAAAGUCACGAGCCGAGCACCACGAUCGACACAGCAACCGGCCUCCCCCUACUGCGCACACCACCACCACCACUACAGCAAAGAGACACAACCCCAACCUACGCCCACGAGCACGUCCUCGUAUGGCCCCGCACACGAAAGGGAAUGUGGCCGCCGCACAGCCCGCUGCUUCCCAUGGCUGUUUGUUCGAUGCACGGACCACGGUCACCAUGUGCCGUCGUCGGCCCCGGUGCGGCGGUGCCCCCUGCGCGCGCGCAUACUAUAUAUACGUCGCGCAUCAAUCCCACUGUGUUGA
This 372-nucleotide ribosomal RNA is filed under the name Triticum aestivum (bread wheat). RNAcentral's name for it is "partial small subunit ribosomal RNA". Lineage: Eukaryota; Viridiplantae; Streptophyta; Magnoliopsida; Poales; Poaceae. The record is from RNAcentral.